GGCCGAUAGUCAGCUAGUGCUAUUCCUUCUUAUCUCCUCAUCAAUUCGCGGCGUAGCUCGGUAUCAAUCAGCAUUUGGAUUGCGCGCAAUUGCGCGUGGAGUUCUGGAGUGCUUCGUAGUGCUUCGUCGUAAAAUUCGCCUUAACCUCGAAUUCCGGGAGGCUUGCCGCGCGAUUAUCGUAUUCGGACAAUGAAUUCGCGUUAACCUCGAUUACCGGGGAUGCCGUAUCAAGUACCGCGCGAUUGUCGUGUUCGGACAAUGAAUUCGCGUGUACGGAGUAAAGUCGUCCGUCGUGAGUGGUAGUGUAGUGUUGUGUUGUGAAGUGUUGUGUUGUGCCACAAAGGAGUCUGAGAGGAGGAGGAGGCCUAGGAGAAGGCGUCAGGCGACGGCGGAGCAACCAUGGAUUAUUUUGAUUAACUCCGCUGCUGCGCAUCGAUCCGGAAUCAAACUGCGGCUCGCAUGCGGAUUUUUCUUCCCCGGCUUCCUCUUUAAUGUCGAACGACCAACAUCUUCGGCGCUCCUUCUUCACGCGCUAAAGAGGGAGACAUGGAACUAUCCAUGGCACCCCAUUCAAGGCUAAAAGGAUUCGGCAAUAAACAACGGUGAGUCUCAAAAUUAGGCGUGGGUCGCAAUCUACAUCGAAACCCCUGCGGUGGUAAACUCAUCGGUCUCACCCUCGCCGAAAGUCACUACGGGGUAUUUGCAAUUCAGACACGCGGGCGUCUUAGAUCGCGUUUGGAUAAGACGCAUGCAAAAAGCAGUAUCUAUUUGCGUCAGUACGCUCUCGCCAGACCGGAGGGCAAGCCUCAAGCAAUCCUUCCACCCACAUUUGGGCGAUGGGAUGGUUCUUCUUCACGCGCGUUUACAAGGCGGAUCGUAUGCAAAUCUCUAGCGGCUUAAUUACGCGACACGCCUACUAUAUGAGGUCUCGGAUCGCACGUAACGCGAACCGGAAGUCAAUAUAUCUGGCCGACGAUAAGAAGAAACUCAUUCGCAGAUCGCUGUUCAUUCUUUUACGUAUCAAUAGAUGCUGCCGAUCGAGAGGAAGCAGAGAGAGGAAGAGUAGACGAAGAGAACAGAAGAAGAGAGGAGAGAGGGAGACAGAGAAAGACAGAGAGAACGGAAAGAAAGGAAUGCAGUGGAAGAGGAAGCUUUUACACGUCAUUUAGGCACCUGUAGCUGCGACUUCUGAUGCGUCAGCAUUUUGCUCGCGUGUUAAGGCUUCCUCUCCUCCGUUCUCCGGUGGACCCGUUGACGAGACAUAGGCUGUUGGAUAGGACAAGGGUUGGCAAGAAUGAAGAGGAGAUGGGUGGCAGAUACGAACUUCCUUCUUUGUCGGCCAGGGAGUCGAAUGGCGGACAGGCGGACGGGUUAAAUUUGCAUGGACGCUUGUCUGCGUUUCCAAUUUCACGCAUGCACACAUUCAACAGCCCCGGGAACAGUUUGGGAACAGUCGGCGAGGGAAAGGAGGGGAGAAAGGGGGAGAGGGUUGGCUGAUAAUAAACGGCGUCGAUUUCGGCAUAAAUCAAGGCCGCGAAUCCCGGCGCGCAUCUUCGCGAGCGAACGAAAAAAAAGGAGGGGAUUGUAGGGUAGAGAGGGCGAGAGGAGUCGGUCCAUCGACAACGGCCAAAUUAAUCCGGCAAGCUUAAACAAGCGGAAACCACCCCCGCAAACCAUACCCUCUUGCGGUGAGGAAUUCCCGCAACGGACCGCGCGGGAUUCCUGUUGCAUUUGCAUGUGUUAUUAUUACUAUCGUUUAAUAUACACGGCGUACUGGUAUUAUUCGAUUCGGUGCAAAUUUUGUCUUAACAAAGCCGUCAAGACACGAAUGACUUUCUCAAGAGUUGCAGAUAAGCUUGAUGCAAUUAAACAAUUAUAUAAUUCAUAUUAUAUUAUUUUCGGCGAAAUCGGAAGAGUCAAAUCCAAAUUCGAAUUAAAGUCACGAUUUAUGCACCUUGUAAAUUGAUCUGUUAUAUGUCUAACAGCUAUUUAAGGCUCAAGAUACUUGGAGGAACAAAAUUCGUUUUUAUUUUACCUCUUAGAUGCAAAUGUCUACAUUUUGAGAGUGUGUUGAACUUCCGGCACCUCAGAUUUUACAAAUUCGGAGAUUUAACAAAUACGAUGAAUAUAGAAUUGCUAACGAUUUGCAAUUGUCUGCAGUAUAACUAGAGCAGACGAGUGAUUUUUUUUCGACAUAUCGAUUGUUAUAAUCGGCUUAGUCGUUCGGUUGUAUAGUGAAACGUGCGACUGGCUGUAUAGCCAGUGUAUACACGCGUGUAUGCACGCAAGUGAAAUACGAAAGCACGAUCUCUUAAACUUUUUGCGUGAUACAGAACCAAAGAAUCUUCUAAUAAAUUAAUUUAUAUGUAUAUAGAGAAAUAUUCACAUGGCAGUUCUCGUAAAAUUAAAUUUGCAAGUAAUCCACUUCAUGUUACUUAGAAUCAAUAUAUUUUUUAAUAAUUAAUCCUUUGCAGGCAACGUAGAUCUUUUAAUAUCCAGGCGAUUUUUCUAUUUUUAAUUAUUCGGACACCUCAAAUUCAUACAUGUACGCGGAAAAAAAAUUUUUUAGUUGUUGCAGCAAGAAUCUGUGUGCUAACUAAAUUUCAAUUGUACAUAACUAAAAUUUAUGUACCACGCACAGAUUUUUGCUGCUGCAACUAACUGUAACUAAUCCUUUUUUCCGCGUAUGAAAACAAUAAGAAACGUUUUGAAUCAAACAACUCUAAAAUCGUAUUCCUAAAUAUUGAAAAAGUACACCAGAUUUUUGAGCUCAUUAACCCUUUGAAAAACAUAAUGUUACCUCAUUAUGUCUAAAGAUAAGACAUUAAAGAUGAAACAUUUUUUAAAACAUUGAGAAAACCAUGAAAAAAUGACAGAUUGUUUUAUAUUAUAUUUGAAAGUAGCAGAAAAAAUUU
Molecule: long non-coding RNA, 2915 nt
Organism: Solenopsis invicta (red fire ant)
Lineage: Eukaryota; Metazoa; Arthropoda; Insecta; Hymenoptera; Formicidae
Exons: 6
Source: RefSeq, a predicted model, not a curated record